RNAcentral lists this long non-coding RNA (574 nucleotides) under Macaca nemestrina (pig-tailed macaque). RNAcentral describes it as "lncRNA (ENSMNEG00000045894.1)". The record is from RNAcentral. Lineage: Eukaryota; Metazoa; Chordata; Mammalia; Primates; Cercopithecidae.
UGACUAGCCAACCUCAGAAACAACUCUCUUUUGAGAAAGAGGUUUUGUGAUAGGGGAUACAUUAGCUAUUUUUUUUGUUUCACCUGGUUACAGAGUUCUCAAGCUGCCUUAAAUAUCAUAGAAGAAAUUUCAGGUUGAAGUUGAUGAUUUUAUUCAGCUUCUUUGAACAUGUCAACAUGGAAAUUGUCCUUGAACACACAGCUCCACAUGCUCACGGGCUGAGGAAGAUGCUGAGAAAUGGAUUCUAUAUGAUAUGCAUCUGCAUAGGAAAACCAUCACUAUAAUUAGCUGGGCACCAAUCUAAUGAAAUUACAAUCUUUUGUGCUCAGCCUGACUCACUGAGGAGGACAGCUGUCUUCAAAGAAGGCCUUCAGGUGACCUGCAGGAAGCCCCUGGUGAAAAUGGAAUGAAAGAGGACAAGGCAUAUGUGGAGCUAAGUGAAAUAGCAGAGUAACCUACGAGUCCUGGAUAGAUAAGGUUUUUUAACUAUUACAUAUGAAUGUUAUUAUUACCAAUUACAACUAUUAAUAACAGUGAUUUCAGCGAUUUCAUUGUAUUAACCAUGAUUUAAUGC